This 492-nucleotide ribosomal RNA is filed under the name uncultured bacterium. Its description in RNAcentral is "partial 16S ribosomal RNA". It matches the Rfam family "Bacterial small subunit ribosomal RNA", at positions 29 to 507 of the family's 1533-position model. The record is from RNAcentral.
AGUGAACGCUGGCGGUAGGCCUAACACAUGCGAGUCGAACGGCAGCACAGUAAGAGCUUGCUCUUACGGGUGGCGAGUGGCGGACGGGUGAGGAAUACAUCGGAAUCUACUUUUUCGUGGGGGAUAACGUAGGGAAACUUACGCUAAUACCGCAUACGACCUACGGGUGAAAGCAGGGGAUCUUCGGACCUUGCGCGAUUGAAUGAGCCGAUGUCGGAUUAGCUAGUUGGCGGGGUAAAGGCCCACCAAGGCGACGAUCCGUAGCUGGUCUGAGAGGAUGAUCAGCCACACUGGAACUGAGACACGGUCCAGACUCCUACGGGAGGCAGCAGUGGGGAAUAUUGGACAAUGGGCGCAAGCCUGUUCCAGCCAUACCGCGUGGGUGAAGAAGGCCUUCGGGUUGUAAAGCCCUUUUGUUGGGAAAGAAAAGCAGCAGGUUAAUACCCCGCUGUUCUGACGGUACCCAAAGAAUAAGCACCGGCUAACUUCGUG